GACGAACGCUGGCGGCGUGCUUAACACAUGCAAGUCGAACGGAAAGGCCCUGCUUUUGUGGGGUGCUCGAGUGGCGAACGGGUGAGUAACACGUGAGUAACCUGCCCUUGACUUUGGGAUAACUUCAGGAAACUGGGGCUAAUACCGGAUAGGAGCUCCUGCUGCAUGGGGGGGGUUGGAAAGUUUCGGCGGUUGGGGAUGGACUCGCGGCUUAUCAGCUUGUUGGUGGGGUAGUGGCUUACCAAGGCUUUGACGGGUAGCCGGCCUGAGAGGGUGACCGGCCACAUUGGGACUGAGAUACGGCCCAGACUCCUACGGGAGGCAGCAGUGGGGAAUAUUGCACAAUGGGCGGAAGCCUGAUGCAGCAACGCCGCGUGCGGGAUGACUGCCUUCGGGUUGUAAACCGCUUUCGCCUGUGACGAAGCGUGAGUGACGGUAAUGGGUAAAGAAGCACCGGCUAACUACGUG
RNAcentral lists this ribosomal RNA (468 nucleotides) under uncultured bacterium. RNAcentral's name for it is "partial 16S ribosomal RNA". It matches the Rfam family "Bacterial small subunit ribosomal RNA", at positions 28 to 507 of the family's 1533-position model. The record is from RNAcentral.